AUUUUCAAAAAUCUUAAAAUCAACCUAACCCACCAAAGAAAUUUUUUAGUGGAACUACGUCGGUUUUGAUCCCUUUCCCAAAAGGGUACGUAGGCAGAGGACUUGUCCUUCCAAAUCAAAUAAAAAUAACCAAAAACAUACUCCUUCUCCCUCCAUUCUUUCACUUAGAUUUUUAGGUAAUAAUUUUUCAAGUAAGCCAAAUGAAUUUAGCACAAGAUAAUCUAGGUAAGCGGUUCCUUCGGAGUACCGAAGUCGUUUAGGGUGCUUAACACCUUCCCUAUUCGAAACCAACCCCCGAAUCCAAAGUCU
This 309-nucleotide long non-coding RNA is filed under the name Medicago truncatula (barrel medic). Its description in RNAcentral is "long non-coding RNA (MTRU_LNC002669)". The record is from RNAcentral. Lineage: Eukaryota; Viridiplantae; Streptophyta; Magnoliopsida; Fabales; Fabaceae.